CCCUUAGAUGUUCUGGGCUGCACGCGCGCGACAAUGACGUUUGCAACGAGAUUGCGAGGCCGUCAGGUCGAGCUGAUCUUGCAAGCUGCGUCGUGAUAGGGACAGUCGAUUGCAAUUAUUCGACUCGAACGAGGAAUUCCUUGUAAUCGCGCAUCAUCAGUGCGCGCUGAAUACGUCCCUGCCCUUUGUACACACCGCCCGUCGCUCCUACCGAUUGAGUGAUCCGGUGAGUGUUUUUGAUCGGCUUCAAGUUGGUUCGCGCCUCUUGCUUGCUGUGAAAUCAUGUAAACCUUAUUGCUUAGAGGAAGGAGAAGUCGUAACA
Molecule: ribosomal RNA, 322 nt
Filed under: uncultured eukaryote
Lineage: Eukaryota
Description: partial 18S ribosomal RNA
Rfam family: Eukaryotic small subunit ribosomal RNA
Source: RNAcentral